This 333-nucleotide long non-coding RNA is filed under the name Oryza brachyantha (malo sina). RNAcentral describes it as "long non-coding RNA (OBRA_LNC001102)". The record is from RNAcentral. Lineage: Eukaryota; Viridiplantae; Streptophyta; Magnoliopsida; Poales; Poaceae.
AUAUAUGGUCCACUUUGCGUCAUGUCCCUCCCUCAAAAUCUUGUGUAGUAGUCAUGGUGUGGGACACCUUCAUUGCGUCUCUAAUACUGAUCACCAUCGGAAGCAUAAAAUGGAAGAUCCAAGAUCGACGAUGCUACCGAAACAUGAUAUUUGUUAACAUGGUUUAGCCAUAGCCAUUACAUGUCACUAAUUACGGGUGCUCCUACUCGAUCUACCAUAUUUAGAAUGUAUCAGGGUAUCAACAAACAUCGACAGGCACGGCUGUCAGUCGAUUAUAUCCUCACCUAUGCUAAAGAUGUCUAGUCUAUGUGUGAUUAUAUUAGGGUGCCUCAG